Molecule: long non-coding RNA, 1154 nt
Filed under: Brachypodium distachyon (stiff brome)
Lineage: Eukaryota; Viridiplantae; Streptophyta; Magnoliopsida; Poales; Poaceae
Description: long non-coding RNA (BDIS_LNC001774)
Source: RNAcentral
GUGGAUUCUUCGUGCUAGAUCUUUCUAACACUUUAAUGCAGGUUUAUCACGAGUCCAUAAUACUUUGCUGAAGGUUUAUCGCGAGAUCAAGGAAAGAUCGCGAUUAUUUCAUCUUUCUUGUUAUUCCUCGAAAUCGAUUAUAGAUUAAUUCUCGUAACUUUCUGUCAGCUGUUACUGUUUUGAUCAUAUCUUUUGAUUAGUACGUACGAUUUAGGUGAUUAUUGUUGCGUUGGUUAGAUAAUUUCAAUAAAUUUCUUUUGCAUGCUAAUACAUAUUUUUGGUUCAUCCAAUCAAAAGGUACGGCUGUUUUACUAUCACGUACAGAAAGGUGAUUUAGGGUUUUAACUUUCGUUAAAAGUUUUAAUUUGCUUUCGCGCAAUCAUUCAUCCCCCUCUGAUUGCCUAUCUUGAUCUCACACUAGCAAACUCCGAAUCAUGUUCGGUUUCAUUUUUUGGGAAGUACGCUUGAAAUUCUUCUCUCUCAGCUGGGUGGAUGCUUAAUUCUUGUUGCACAUCCUGCUGCCCUUCAUUGUAUCUCAUUCUGAUCUUGGACUUGAAAAGCUACGAAAUACCUACAUAAUAAAAUGAGGCAAGAUAGUAGCUCUGCCUCUUCAUGCAUAUGACAUUGAAAACAAAUACUAAUUAACUUCACCUGAUUAUAAAUGGUAUCGAAUACUCUAAAAUUAAGUGUGCCAAAGGUCGUGUACAUGGUUAGCAUAUCAUAACAUCAUGUGUAUUAUGGAUUAGCAAAAGAACCCGUGCGAUGCUACGGAACAACGGAAAAUUGUAUCAAAACGUAAAAUUAAAUGUUGAUGUGUUUCAUGAGCACAUAUGUAUAUAAUGAUUGUGAUAUGUUUAUUUUCGUGGGCUAUACUUUGGUCUCUUUCUCUUUUGCACAUGUCUUAUUUCUAUAUUUAUUCUUGCCCUGCUCUCCUAUUACUCCUACUCCGUACGUUUUUUCUCAAAUCCCUUCUCCCAAUUUCUCGCUCUCCCUCUGACUAUCCUCUCCAUCCAUCCUAAGUGCAAACUCCUUCUCUCCCCAUCCCGAUUCAUCCCGCCACCGAAGAUCGCGCCGCCUUGAGCGGCUGCCCACUUGUGCGCACCGCCUCCGCCUGUAGAUUCCCGCCGCCCGUCCGCUCCUGCGCGCCGCCUGCU